This 440-nucleotide ribosomal RNA is filed under the name uncultured bacterium. Its description in RNAcentral is "partial 16S ribosomal RNA". It matches the Rfam family "Bacterial small subunit ribosomal RNA", at positions 338 to 795 of the family's 1533-position model. The record is from RNAcentral.
CCUACGGGCGGCAGCAGUAGGGAAUAUUGCUCAAUGGGGGAAACCCUGAAGCAGCAACGCCGCGUGGAGGAUGAAGGUUUUCGGAAUGUAAACCUCUUUUGUUAGAGAAGAUAAUGACGGUACCUAACGAAUAAGCACCGGCUAACUACGUGCCAGCAGCCGCGGUAAUACGGAGGGUGCAAGCGUUACCCGGAUUCACUGGGCGUAAAGCGCGCGUAGGCGGGAUAGCAAGUCAGAUGUGAAAUCCUAUGGCUUAACCAUAGAACUGCAUUUGAAACUGUUGGUCUAGAGUAUGGGAGAGGUAGGUGGAAUUCGUGGUGUAGCGGUGAAAUGCGUAGAGAUUAAGAGGAAUACUCAUUGCGAAGGCGACCUACUAGAGCAUAACUGACGCUGAGGCGCGAAAGCGUGGGGAGCAAACAGGAUUAGAUACCCCUGUAGUC